This 568-nucleotide long non-coding RNA is filed under the name Carica papaya (papaya). RNAcentral's name for it is "long non-coding RNA (CPAP_LNC015828)". Lineage: Eukaryota; Viridiplantae; Streptophyta; Magnoliopsida; Brassicales; Caricaceae. The record is from RNAcentral.
AGUAUCCAUGGGGAUCCAUAGGGGGUCUCCUCUACCCGUGAACCGUUAACAUUAAUAACCUGAUUCCAGGGCUGUCCCGUUCCCCGUUCGCUAUGGGCGCCAAAACCAUGAACCUCAAUACCCCAUCCGGUAUGAGGGUGAAACGGGCCGUCCCCAUACCCCAUCCGGUAUGGGCGCCAAAACACAUAAGGUCUCCAUAUCCUAUCCGGUAUGAGAGACCACGUUCCCGGUAGGGUUCCCUACGGACCCAGUCCGUCCACCAUCUCCCAAGAUAUCUAGUCAGGCUGUCCACAUUAUCCAUUUAUCAAUUCACAUAACAUUUUUGCCUUUUUCCUUGAUCUCAAUCAUCCAAUCAUACACAACAUGUAAACCAGUAAUUGACACCAAACAAGACAACACAGUAUUGGGUUCACCAUAAUACAAACCAUAAUAAAAGAAACUAUGAUUCAUGCAUACGAGACCAUAAAAUAAUUACAUCAAAUAUCAUACUGCAUUUAAUACUGAAAUUUAAAUCAAACAACAACAGACCAACACUGUAUCAGACUCGGGCUCCAUUGGCAACCUCAAU